Molecule: ribosomal RNA, 429 nt
Filed under: Pseudomonadota bacterium
Lineage: Bacteria; Pseudomonadati; Pseudomonadota
Description: Proteobacteria bacterium partial 16S ribosomal RNA
Rfam family: Bacterial small subunit ribosomal RNA
Source: RNAcentral
UGGGGAAUAUUGGACAAUGGGCGAAAGCCUGAUCCAGCCAUGCCGCGUGUGUGAAGAAGGUCUUCGGAUUGUAAAGCACUUUAAGUUGGGAGGAAGGGCAGUAAGCGAAUACCUUGCUGUUUUGACGUUACCGACAGAAUAAGCACCAGCUAACUCUGUGCCAGCAGCCGCGGUAAUACAGAGGGUGCAAGCGUUAAUCGGAAUUACUGGGCGUAAAGCGCGCGUAGGUGGUUCGUUAAGUUGAAUGUGAAAGCCCCGGGCUCAACCUGGGAACUGCAUCCAAAACUGGCGAGCUAGAGUAGGGCAGAGGGUGGUGGAAUUUCCUGUGUAGCGGAGAAAUGCGUAGAUAUAGGAAGGAACACCAGUGGCGAAGGCGACCACCUGGGCUCAUACUGACACUGAGGUGCGAAAGCGUGGGGAGCAAACAGG